Molecule: ribosomal RNA, 231 nt
Filed under: uncultured bacterium
Lineage: Bacteria
Description: partial 16S ribosomal RNA
Rfam family: Bacterial small subunit ribosomal RNA
Source: RNAcentral
CGGGUGAGUAACGCGUGGGUAACCUGCCUUGUACAGGGGGAUAACAGUUGGAAACGGCUGCUGAUACCGCAUAAGCGCACAGCAUCGCAUGAUGCAGUGUGAAAAACUCCGGUGGUAUAAGAUGGACCCGCGUUGGAUUAGCUAGUUGGUGAGGUAACGGCCCACCAAGGCGACGAUCCAUAGCCGACCUGAGAGGGUGACCGGCCACAUUGGGACUGAGACACGGCCCAA